Molecule: long non-coding RNA, 3038 nt
Organism: Diachasmimorpha longicaudata
Lineage: Eukaryota; Metazoa; Arthropoda; Insecta; Hymenoptera; Braconidae
Exons: 2
Source: RefSeq, a predicted model, not a curated record
UUGUUAUUGCAGCCGCUAGAUGGCAGCACUAAUGUUUUUCUAAACGUCAGCCGGUGUCAACAAACAGUAGAGGUUAUAUUGUUGAAUAUAAAUAAAUAGCAGUGUUAACGUGAAGUUAAUUUCUUUGGUGCUGUCAAAAAUGAGACCGACAAUGGAAGCGAAUUUUGAUAAAGCGUCUUCCCAGAAUCUACCAAAAGUGGACGUUGAAAUGCUCGCAGUUCUUUUAAUAUUAAAACUACCACGGGGAUUUGCAGAAGCUCUCUUUUUUUUAUUAUUAUGUUGUAAAAAAGUAUGCAGUAUUCCUACAUAUACCGAGAUGGGUCAUUUCAACCCCGCACGGAACAAGGUUUUCGGUGCUGUUCUAUUGUAACGUGGAAAUAAAACUAAUAACUAAAAGAACUUCCCUAGUUGGCACUAUAAGACAAAACAAGAGAGAACUACCUAAACUUGCAACAUCAAAAAAGGAUAACAUGUCUCGCUUCUCGACAGUACUUCAUAAAACAGAUGUACUCUGACCAUCUAUAAGAUAACCAAAUAAAAAAGUAUUACUGCAUAGUUCAAAACAUAAGUCAGUGAAAAUUGAAAAAGAUGAAAAACGUUUACCUGAAACGAUUACAUUUUAUAACAAUAUCAAAUUUGGCGUAGAUGUACGGAUCAAAUGGCUCGGAAAUAUACUGUGAAAGCUGGAUCCCGAAGAUGGCCAUUACAAAUGUUUUACAAUAUUUUAGAUCUUGCCGGAAUAAAUGCAUGGAUAUUAUAUAAGGAAAGAACAGGAGAAAAUAUUUCAAGAAAAGAAAUUCCCGUUAUCCGAAAAACUUGCAAUUGACUACAAAGAGCUAACCGGUAGAUCUACAGAUCAAGUAGAAGGAAUAUCAUCAUCUAUAUCGUCACAAAAUCAGACACAUAUUUCGAUGAAACGUAAACGGUGUUAAAUAGCACAUUGUACUAAUAAUAAAACGAAUAAAAUUUAUGGUACAUGCCAUAAACGAACCUGUGGUAAAUGAUCUUCUAAAAUAUCUGUAACUUGCCAAAAAUUUUCUUCAACUUUUAUCCAUAAUUAUUUAAAAAAUUACUGCUAUUAUAUUACUAUUAUUAAAAGAUUAUAUUUAAGGUUUGUUCAGAAAAUUACCAAAUAUAUAAAAACGUAAAAAUUGCUGUCUUUUUUUAUAUAUCUUUUAGUAACUUAAGAAACAGGUCAUUUUGACCCAUCCGGUAGAAGUAGGUAUACGUCAAUCGUCGGUAGUUCUAGUGUUAAAAUCAAAUUUGUAUCAGAGUGCGGAAAACGGAGGUGUCAAAGCCGGCAGGCACGUUUCGAGGAUUAAAUAACUCAUUGCUAAAAAUACUAAAAAUGUAAUUAUACGUUCAAAUAAUCAAUUCAUUUUAAUUUUAAUUUACUUCAGAGCAACUCGCCCCACUUAUGGAGAUGCGGCAGUCGGUUGGGUUCAGGUACAUCGUGAUUCAGGGUUAUGCACUAUUAAAGCACGAGUAUGUCCGGAACACAAAAUUCGCGAUACAGAAUAAUACAACGAGAAAUUGAGGAAGAUAAACAAAAUCAUCUUGUUGAAUUUUUCAAACCUAGGGCCAGUUGGGAAAAAAUCUCACUCCAUCAUUUAGCCUCGAGUUAUUCUGGAAAUCGUCUUGACAUCGAUGAAUUUUUUAACUAUUGUCAGAACAGUUAUACAUAUGAAGACUGUGCGGCAGUUGCUAAUCGCACGAAAGAUCAGAGUGAAUCCCCGAUUUGGUAUGAGAUGAGAUAUGGCCCGAAUCACAGCCUCAAUUCUGUACGAGACCUGUCGUUGUCGUACAACAGAAGGAGCGCUCUUCAGAAAAAUCAUAGGAGGAAAAAUGAUCGAGACUGAUGCAAUGGCGAGGGGGAGAGAAUUGGAAGCAGAUGUCAUCAAGAUUGUAGAAAAGUUAAUCGGAGAGAAAGGAUCAAAAUCUGGCUUAUUAUUAUCGCCUAUGUACCCAUGGUUUGGAGCAUCACCCGAUGGUGUAACAAAAACUGCUGUCAUUGAAGUCAAGUGCCCGAUGAAAGUCGAUACUGUCUACAAUUAUUAUUCCAACAACACCGUAAAUCCUAAAUUUCGAGCACAAAUGCAGUUGAAAAUGUUUUUUGCAGGGAAACAGAAAGCGAAAUUUUGCAUCGCUGAUCCACGUUUUCCCAUAAUAAAACGUAUAACUAUCAUCGAGGAAGAGUUGGACCCUCAUUUGACCAACACGUUAAUUCAGCAGGCCUCAGCAUUUUGGGAAUCAGCCAUUCUGCCAGCUUUGAUGGACUCAACAUAACCCGGAAGAAUUAAAAAAUUUAUUGUUGUAUGGGAAUAAAAUCAAUAAUGGUUGAAAAUUGAAACUAUAAUGCAUUAAUUUAUUAAAAAUACAUCGGUAUACAUAUCUCAAUGAGUCUAAAUUUUUGUAAUCAACAUGUUAUUAUUUUGCUUUGUAAGUUUACGAAUGCAGCGGCCACCUGUACUAUAUCCUCCAUCAGAUGGAUUAAGUUGUGAUCGACCGUAACAUGUGGUUGCAACAUUUUAAAUUCUCUCAGGCGUCUGAUCACUCUCUCUACGUGGAUUCUUACACUGGCAAUUUCUGUCGUUUUUAAGACUUCCUCUUUGGUAGGUUUCACAUCUGUUUGGACCGAAGAAGGUCGCAGAAGUUUACAGUUUUUUUUUUGGUGUAACUAGGAUUCGAUUUGUUUAAAUCCUCUAUCUGCGAGAAUAGAUGACCCAGAAGGGAGAACCGAUAAAUAUCCAGAAUUUUUGACAAUUUUUAUGUCCCUGGAGUGACCGCCAAAUCCACAGGAGAUGAAAUUAAUCAAUUCAUCAGGAGUUAUGGAUAUCAGAUAUUUACAAAAAUUACACUUCUUAUAGUCUGACCAUGUUGCAGCCUGGUGUACUACAUGAGUUAAAUGUUUUAUUUGAAUUUCGAAACAAUUUUUAUGUCAAAAUUAAACGAAAUGACAUGAUUAUUUAAUGGUUUAACUUGAAAAUUCCCAAAUAAAAAAAAAAAAGGCCCACUGGAUAAGCCCACUGGAUGAAAAA